AAUUUUGGACCAUGGGUGAAACCCUGCUCCAGCCAUCCCGCGUGUGCGAUGAAGGCCUUCGCGUUGUAAUGCACUUUUGUCAGGGCAGAAAUCGUACAGGCUAAUAUCUUGUGCGGAUGACGGCACCUGAAGAAUAAGCACCGGCUAACUACGUGCCAGCCGCCGCGGUAAUACGUAGGGUGCAAGCGUUAAUCGGAAUUACUGGGCGUAAAGGGUGCGCAGGCGGUUUAUCAAGAAAGGUGUGAAAUCCCCGGGCUUAACCUGGGAAUGGCACUUUUAACUGAUAGGCUAGAGUAUGUCAGAGGGGGGUAGAAUUCCACGUGUAGCAGUGAAAUGCGUAGAUAUGUGGAGGAAUACCGAUGGCGAAGGCAGCCCCCUGGGAUAAUACUGACGCUCAGACACGAAAGCGUGGGGAGCAAACAG
Molecule: ribosomal RNA, 423 nt
Filed under: uncultured bacterium
Lineage: Bacteria
Description: partial 16S ribosomal RNA
Rfam family: Bacterial small subunit ribosomal RNA
Source: RNAcentral